RNAcentral lists this long non-coding RNA (448 nucleotides) under Phoenix dactylifera (date palm). RNAcentral's name for it is "long non-coding RNA (PDAC_LNC004147)". Lineage: Eukaryota; Viridiplantae; Streptophyta; Magnoliopsida; Arecales; Arecaceae. The record is from RNAcentral.
GUAAGACAGUGUAAGAUUUAUUUACUAAUCUAUGUAGCUCAUAUCUCUUCUUUUCUAACUUUUUCAGACGAACAAGAUCGUUAGGAGUGGAAAAUGAUCCAAUCUUGGAGUUUGUGCUAAUAGACCUUUAUAGGAGAAUUUUAGUUCGCUAGUUGAUUAUUUACUUAGUUGUUGAUUUUAUAGAUAUUGAGGCUAUUGGUUCUGGGCAUUUAAAUUUAGAUUUAGACGCUCUAUAGCAAUACUUAUUUAUUUAUUGGACGAUAGUCUCGAACUUUGUUGUUAGGUUUUAGUUUAUUUAAGAUGGAUUUUCAUAUAGGUUAGCUACUGUAAGCUUUGUUUUAUCAUGGGCGGUACCCCAUGAUAGCAUGGCCAUGUUAUAUGCUGAAUUUGGAGCAUGAUAUUUAGUAGUAUGAGAGUAUAGGUUUGAUUGUGGGUAGACUUUAAGCUU